RNAcentral lists this long non-coding RNA (11888 nucleotides) under Brassica napus (rape). RNAcentral's name for it is "long non-coding RNA (BNAP_LNC001198)". Lineage: Eukaryota; Viridiplantae; Streptophyta; Magnoliopsida; Brassicales; Brassicaceae. The record is from RNAcentral.
UUAAAAUAAAAUUUUAUUUAUUAAUUAAAAUCAGUUUACAAUAAAAUCAGUUUUACAAAACUAAACCAAAAUUAAAAAGUAAAGUAAACCAGAACAAAUUAAACCAUACACUAACUAAAACACAUUAAACCAAAACCUAAUUAACCUAAACCUAAGCAGCCGCCCACCACCUCGUCUCAUCUGCUACGACUUGCUUCCGCGUCUCGGCGCCUCCUUGUGCUUCAUGCCUCAGCCUCAAAUCACCUUUUUCUGAACCGCAUCUACCUCUGCCUCCGUGUCUGGUUUGUCACUACCACCAUCUCCACUGCAUCGUCUUCUUCCUCUGUCAUCUCCGUACCACCUCCGCUGUAUCUUCCUUCUUCACGACGUCGUCUCCUUUCACGCUUUCAUCUUCGUCACCAAACCGGAGGACAAGGCUUCGCGGAGAAGGCGGUCGGAGGAGGAGAACGGAGGAAGCUUCACGGAGAAAGGGUCAGGGAGGAGAAGGAGCCAUUCGGAUAGGAGGAGAGGAGGAGCGUAUAGGAGUGAUGUGUAUUUGGAUCUCCUGUGUAUUUGCAGAUUGAUGUGGAGAAGAAAGACUGUGGUGGUGAGUUCUCGAUGGAAAAGAAAGAAGAAGAUAAGAGUUGGCCAGUGAGAAAAGAAAAAGAAAUCAUAAAUGAAUGUUUGUGAACCAUUGGAUUAAAAAUCAAUGGUCAAAAAUAACAAUCCUUCUUGUGCAAGAUCUACCAAUGAGAAAAGAGUACAUAGAUAACACAAGAAUGAUUUUGGGCCUUUGGAUGAAACCAAUCAAUCAAUGGCCAAAAUAAUUCCAUGUUUUUAUGAUUAACCAAUAAAAUAAUUUACUUUCUUCAUUUAUUGAAGUUAAUAUUAUCAAUUGUAUAAAUAACUUCAUAUUUUAUGUUUAAGAUUUUGCUAUUAAUAAUUAUAUAUUUGAGAUUAAACUUUUUUUUAAAAAGUAAAGUCUAUAUUAAAGUAUGAGGUUUUAAAUUUAAAAAUAUUAUAUUUGAUGUUUUAAAUAAGAAUAUGUAGUUAAAAAUAUAUAAAAUAAAAUUUAUAAUUUAAAGAUUUUGAUUAUGAUUUAGAUUUCGGUGAUUUAGUUUAAAAAUUAAAGAAAGAUUAAAGUUCAAACUUAUGUUUAGAGUUUGGAGUUUAAGAAUAUGGUUAGUUUAAAGUUUAAUGGUUACUUAAAGUUUUAUGUGUAUAAGCUUAGGGUUUAGAGUUUGAAAUAUAGUAUUAGGAGUUAGUUUCGAAUAUACAAUUUAUGUUUUGGAGUUUAUAAUUAAUUAAAUUUAGUGUUAUGAUAUAAGGUUUGGAUUAUGGGGUUUGAGAUUUAGAGUGAAAUUUGAGGAUAAAUUUUAAAAAUUAGCCAGAUUUGUAAUUUAUGUGUUAAGUUUGGUGUUUAAGUUGGAAAAUAUUAGUUUUACUGUGUAUAUUUAUAUAUAAUUUAUGGUGAACUACAUAUAUAUUUGGGGUUUGAGGAAUAGGGUUUGGAGUUUAGAUAUAGGGUUUGGAAUUUAAAUUAUUAAUUUAGGGGUUAUAAAUGUUAAAGUGAAGUAUUAGAUAUGAAUGUUAAAACUUAGUUAUAAAGUUAAAGUUAUAAAACUAUAAAAUUUUAUAAAUUACAAAAUGUGUUUAAAAAGAGUUUAUGAUUUGGUAUAUAGUUUAAGUUUAGAGUUUUAGUGUUUGAAAUAUAAUGUUUGAAAAUAGCUUUUCUUAGCCUUAAAAUAAUGCUAUCAUAUGUUUUUGAUAUCAUUAUUGAAACCGCUUAAAUAAUGUUUUUGGCGCUUACGUAUAAUUUCUUUUUAAGUAUUGGUGGGAUCAAUAAUUUUAUUUUCCCGCUCACUUAAUUUUUAAAAUAACAUUAAUUAAAUGCUAUCUUAGGUUUCAUUCUAUAAUAGCGUUUAUUUAAUGCUAUUAUAGAAUACGGAAAUUUUAAACUCAUCUACAAUAACAGUUCAGUAAAACGUGCUAUAACAAUAUGCUAUCAAUGUGAACUUUUUUUGUAGUGGUAAUUUGCAGUCUAAUUUAUUAUUAGUUAAAUUAUAUUUAGAAAAAUAAUUAAUGAUGUUUUUGAUUGGAAAAUAUAAAAAAGUAAAUGUUUUCUUAACAUAGAAUAUAUGUGCAUAAUUUUAAAACGACAUCUAAUAAAAAGGGGAGGGAGCAAGAAACAAAAUAAAAUGUAACAAAGGAGAGCCACAAUGAAGAUACUUUGUUCUUUUAUUGUCCUAAACUACCAACAGAGGAGUGAUCAAGCUGGAUUAUUUAAGCUUCUUGGAAAUUAGGUGCACAUAUAAAUACUAUUAGGGAGAUAGAAAAAGUGGAAUACAUCUUUAAUAAAAAGGACUGCUUUAAUAAAAAGGUGAAAUUCUACAUUUUGUUUCCCUGCUUGCAUCCUUCAUCUGUACAAAGAAUAGCCAAUCUUGGGGAGAGUCAUAGACAACAAACAAAAGAGUCUCUUCGCACUCAAUUAGUGAAUGAAGACACAGAGCUAAGGCCGUGUCUCAUGGCUGCUUCCCACACCAGAUCAAUACGGUCAACGUCAAUGGCUCCAACCUCAUGAUGCUUCCAACCCUCCAGCAUAUGAACCACUCCUCCUGCAUGGCAUGCAUGAACCACCCCUCUCUCCAUUGUGUACUGCCGCAACACAACAAACACACACUUAAGAGUUUAGCCUAAUGGACUAAAAGGAUAAACACUCAAAUAAGACUUGAUUAGUAACCACGGUUCUUUAUACCUCGCAGGUUCCUAGUCCUUGAACAUCUUUAGGGAGCCUCAUAGCUGCUAGAUCACCAUAAGUGCAGUUCCUUCUAAAUUUUAGGAUUGGCGGCACUACAAACUGGUGGAAAUGAGUUCCUGCAGGAGCCCAGCUCUGUUCCCUUGGUGUUAACCAUUUCCCAACGAUCCAAGUCUGCAUGUACAUAGUUCAAACACCCCCAAAGUCAAUACAUUUACGUUAACACACCAAAUGAAAAACAGUUAGAACUCAGUACGCUACCUUGCAGUUUUGAGCAGCGUUGUAUUUGGUCACUUGUACGAGGUAGUUUUGGAACUCAGCAGGAGCUUCUUUCUGAAUCUUUUGGAAUCUCUCUAUCGACAUAGUCAACAUCUGUCAAUUAUUUAAACAUCUAUCAGACUUUGAGACAAUAUAGAUCGUUAAGUAUUAGUAAGAAAACUUACGAGAACUCUCACUCCACGACGACAGAGGUAAAGAGCGAUGGCUCUUCCCAGCUUAGAAGUGGCUCCUGUCAAGAACACUUCUUUCACAUCUUUUGGAAUUUCAUUGAGAAUCACUGCUGCGGUUAAAGUGUUCCCAUGAACCACACGAACUCUAAGGUCAGGAUGCUUGUUCACAAACAACGUCCCACCACCAUUUAAAGCUUCGUUCUGAGAACAAACAAAAACAUAACAAAAAUAAGUAACCUUUUAAGUGACUUGACUCAGAAGUUACUAACUUGUACCUUGUUCAGAGCAGCCAAGCUUAUGACUUUAACACCAAUCUUAUCAGCUCUCAGAAUCGCAGCCUCGAUCUGAUCAUUAAUCCCUUGUGUAGCAAACGGUAAGAAGUACUGCAAAACAGAGGAAAAUGCUCUGUAAAACACUCUGUUCUCUCUGUUUUCAAGGGGAGUUAGAAAGAAACAGAGACAUUACUUGGAAACCGAAUCUAGGAACUCCCCAAGUCUGGCAAAGAUUGUUUCUGAGGGUGUAGAAGCUGAAAAGAAAAGCCUUUGACCAAACCCACAUGCCCAACAUCACCAUGAAAGUGAACGGCCACAUGGGAAGCAAGAAGAGCCUCGUCGUGUAUGGCAUCGAAGCAAACGAUCUGAACACAAACGGUGCAUGCAUCGCCGACAUCACAUCUACCCCAUGAGCCAAGAACACAAACUCCGGCACCCUCUUCCGUUCCCCUGCACACAAAGAUCAAUUCAGUUUUUCAAAAAAAAGAAAGACAAAAACUGUAACUUUGUGGUCAAGGAAGGGGUACUAUUGUCUUUUCAAAUCUUUGGCUUUACAUCCUUGACUCUGACCACUCAUAAAUUGGCUUAACCUGUUUGGUAUUGCUGCCAAAUUUAUUCAACUAGUCUAGUACUCUCUGUCUAGACUCACUUUGUUUCAAAAAAGUAUUUAUUCUAAGAUUUUUUUUUCGUUUCAAAAAAGGUAACCUUCUAUAUUUCCAAUAUUAUUUUAAGUAUUUAUUUACUUUUAACCUUUUAAAUAAUCAAUAAAUUUAUAUUUAAAUUAUUUUCAUUUAAUUAAUUCUAUACUAAAAAUAUAUAUAUAUAAUUGUAUAUUUUGCAAUUUUCGUCAAUGUGACACUUUUGCAAACGGAAGGAGUAAUAGUUUCGGUAUAUUAUUACCUGAAGCCAAACGAAUCUUCUUUUGGAGUUCCCAUGAGUUUGAGUUAAGUGUGUUGCCCAAAACAUCAAAGAGAGGCAUAAACAGACAGAAGUUGGUCCCCAUUUCUUGAUGAUGCAGAGUAUGGUACCUGCAUGAUCCCCACCAAUUAAAUCAAACUUUUAAACAUUUUUUUAAAUUCAUCGCAAGUAAAAAUCAUAUUAUAUAUACAACUAGAAACUAUAGAAAUCUUUGCUUCUUAGAGUGAAAAUAUGACAAAGUCACGUUCGUGUGUGCCUUAAGUUGGGUCCUUAAGCAUAGGAUCCCUAAUUCAAUGAAUAAGUUAGAGAGCCUUUAUUGGAAAACUUAUGGUGUGUGGAGCCAAUAGAUCUCAUCUAACCAAAUCCACAAAAAAAAGUUAACAUGUGAAGUACUUUUCAGAAAGGGUAAUAAGAUACACGUUAACAACAUACGUUGGAGUGUAGAUGAGAUAACGUAGGAUUGGUAGAGUCUCGAAUAACUUGUGAGAGAAGAUUUCAACGUUGCAAUGUCCUAAACAUCUUAGGAAAUCAAACAUGAUAGCGUAUCCGUAGAUCAAGCUUCGGGGGUCAGAGAAGCCUCGUCAUCGGCUGCUUCGGAAGCCUUGUCGAUGAUCCUACGCCUCCAGGGAGAGAAAGCAGCGCUGGAGAUGGAGACUAGUCAGUACAAGAGGAUGGCGGAGGAGAAGAUGUGCCACGCGGAGACUUCUCUGACGCUCUUCGAGGAUCUGAUUUACAAUAAGGAGAUGGAGAUCGCUUCUCUCGAGUUUCAGGUUCAGGCUUACAGAUGCAAGCUGCUCAGCGUUGGGGUCUCUGAUCCAGCUGUCGUGGAGAACAAGUUCCCGCAAAAUCUCGUCUUCUUUGGUGAUACCUCUCGUGUAAAUCAAAAGAGGAAGAUGAAAUGAAAUCUAUCGGUAAAAGCUUUUAUGUCUUCAUGUUUUGAGACUUUGAGAGAUUGAGAGAUAAUGAGACAAAGUUCAAUAUAUUGUCUGUUGCAGAGUCCUUUCGAUGGCAUGAGCAGUGAGAGAAGAAGCCUGCUUCUGUCUGAUACUAAUGGUGACAGUUCUUUAUCUCCUGGUGAAGACUUGAGUGCUUAUUGGGAAGAGAUGAGGAGAAUAGACGAGCAUGUUCGAGAGAUUUCAGAUUCAAGAGAUGCCCCCAAGGAGUCUAAAUGGCCUUUGCUUAGGCGCAAGUCUAUGUCACAUGCGUUGGUUUCUCAAGUCAGCAAUACUAUCUUAAAGUCAGCCAAGAGUGAUGUCAGUUCGAUAAUGGAGAGGAUGAAGAAGAACCCUGAUAGAUUAUCUCCUGCAAAAGAUGCUUUGUCUCCGAAUCUCCAGGACAUCUUUAAGAUUCCGAGGACAAAGGAAAGCCUUACAAUCAUCUCGGAAGAAGAGGAACUGGAAGAAAGAAAUGUAAGUAUUGAGUGAACUAGUCUUUUGAUAAAAACAAAUUUGGUCAAAGUGCUGAUAAUGUGUAGAAGGAGUCACAGGUUAGAGGGAACAUGGAGAGUAGUAAUUACGAAAGGGAAUUGAGUAAGCCGCCGCCAAGCAUCAAGGAAGAACAUAUGAGUUUGUUAAAGGAGAUUAGAGAACAGCUCAAUGCAAUGCAGUCUGAGAUGAGAAGCUUAAGAUCAGAACUGCAUCAAACUCAACAUGUGUCUCAUCUGGAGGAGGAUCCAGCCCUUAACUCAAUUCAAGAGGUAAUCACUUCUCUUUCUACUUGGUGAGAGAUGUCUAAAUAAUAUUCAGAACUAAACAUUUUGUGUUGUUUCUUGAAACAGGCUAUGAUUCACUUCUGGCUUUAGAAGCUAUAAUGCCUGGGAGUGGUUCUAGUUUCCCAUAUACAGACCAUUUGUAUGUUACUUAAGGGAUGUAAAAAAAAAACUGAUAUGUAACUGCACUGGCAUUGUGAAAACAAAAUCUUUAAAUCUCUCAUGAAAGUAUCUAAAGUUGGUCCACAAAGGUUAAAGUUGGUCCACAGAGGUUAGGAUGUCAUGUUAGUUAGCGGAUGCACAAAAUGCAUGAAGGGUUAUCGAGAUCAAGAGUAGUGCCUCUCAAACACUUGAAGUGGUAGACAUGACCACAAGCCAGCACGCACGCUUCUUGUAAGCUGCGCAAAGAAGCAUUAGGUCGUUCUGGAUCAGAGGCUAGAUCUCUGUCGCAUAGAUCGCAUACGUGUCCAACUUCCUCAGCAGCAAACACCUUGUCAAGCUCUGCUUAAAAGGCCCCAAAAAAAUAUCAAACAUAAGAAAAAAGCAUAUAGCUCUCACUCAAGUAUUGAAUAGAUUAUUACCAUCGCGAAUCUGCGGUUUACUCGGAACCUGAGCAUUCACAGUCUUGUCGAGAAGAAGCUGGACCUCUUUAGAGAGCUUUUGAAGAUGAUGAGAUGAAGUGGAAGAAGAUGAUGAUGAUCCUGACGCUUUGAGCUCAGAAGUGGCUUUCUCAAUCUUCUCUUGAAGCUUCAGGAGCAUCUCUCUACUUCCAUCGUCUCCUUUUGAAUCCAUGUUUCGCACGCACAAGUCGACGAAACUUCUGUACUCGAAAACAGUCAAGCAAACAAUUAAAAAGAAAAAAACAAAGUCAAAUCUUGUUUGACUUGUAUAAUGCGAGAAGGCGCUAUUUGGUUGAAACUUGUGUAACAAGAUAUUACGUUUACGAAGCAAGAGUACAAUUAGGGUCCAAACCAAGGAACCCAAAGCGUCCGCCGUUAGAAUCCACAAAGCAAAAUCGUAACUUUACAGAUCGCAAUGAAGAAAUCAAUCAAACGACGUUUAUCAGAAAUCAAAAUCGAAAAAAAAAGAGAAGGAAAGAGUUGGACGAGAGAAAUCGAAGAACCUGUGUGGUGGUGUAUAUCAACGAACAGUGUUGAAAAGGGAGGGAUUAUGUUGCUGCUGCUGUUACUUUGGAGUGAAAUAUAUAUGUUUAAACAAGCUAUAAUCGACAACUCGUAUCUAUGUAUCUCCACAUAACUAAGCUUUUUUUUUAAUUAAGUGAUUAAGGAGACCGACACGUGGGCUGAAAACGUAGGCUGCUAACACGAGGCUAAUCUGGAUCCACAUGCUAGAAUAUCCAUGUAUAUUAAAAAAAAAGAUUAAGGGAUUACAAAAAAACAGAGUUCUCAUCAAUGUUCAAUCUAGGCAUGCCGGUCCGGUUUAUUCGGAUAGUACGGAUCGGUUAGUUCGGAACUCAGUUAGUUCAGAAUUAUGUUAGUUUGGGUUGGUCAAAAUUUCACCGAAAAAGUUUGGUUCUGUUUGGUCCGGUUAAUUUGGUCCUAAAUUAUUUAACCAAAGGUUUUUGUUUUGCGGUUAAUUCGGUUAAAUUUUCGGUUUAAAUUAAAAAAGUCAAAAAUGGUUAAUUUCUGUUAGUUGUUAUUUCGGUUUGUAUUUUGGUUAGGUUCGUUCGGUUAUUUCGAUUCAGAUUUUGGUUUAUUCGAUCAGUUCAGUUCGGAAUUUGGUUAAAAUUGGUACUUUUUAGAUUUUUUUUUAGAAAACUGAACUUACCGAUUAUCGAACCAAAUAUAAGAAUUUUUUUUUUAUCGAACUAAGAGAAAACCAAACUUUUUGGUUCGGUAAGUUUGGUUUGAUUAAAGUUCCCAGCCCUAGUUCAAUUGUUAAGAAGAUGUUAGUCACUUUAUAUGAGAUUACUAAUUAGGCGGAUGUCUAAACUGAUUUUUGAGUCGGCGAAGAAAAUAAUAUUUCAUUUUGGUUUGAUUUGCCGGCGAACGCAUGCGUACAGCAUUUACCGAAUUUAACCUUUGUUUUCUUAUGAAUUUUUUUUUUAAAUUAGUAUGAGCUUAAGAGUUUGCCUGGUUGUAUGCACUUUAUUGGGCUUUUCAUAAGCCCCAGAAUUUCAUUAAACUAGUUUUUUUGUAAUUAAUUUGUUUAACCAGGUUGAAAAUCUGAUCAAGCUUCAGAAAACAAAUUUAGACAGACAAUUUUUUAAAAAAAUUAAUGUUUAUGGACGACUGGUUCGGCUGUCCUAAAAUAGUAAGAAAUAUGUUUUCCUCCUAUUUGUAGACUACAAGUUAAAAACACUUGGUUUUUUUUUUGGAUUUUGUAAUUUACUACAAAUAUCCAUCAAACUCGAUCUUGUAAUAUUCCGCAUUUUUGGGCUAAUAAUCUCCAUGAAUAUAAAGGGUUCUUCUACCUUCAAUUCUAAUAAUUCACACACACACACACAAACAAAAGACUAGACUUUUGGAUAAUUGAGAGCUUAAUGACCAAAAAUAACAAAAUUCUCGGACAGGAUCAGCUGUUGUACUUAAUCAAAGUAUCCUUAAUUAUCUCCAACUUACAUUUGACUGUAAAACCCACCACACAUUCACUCACUCACUUAAACACCUAUACUUUAUAAUCUUCCUCCUUUCCAUAUAUGCAUUCCUCAUAUCAAACUUAACACCUCCAUAGAGACUUUUUUUAUAACUCUCUUCAUGGCUGAUAAUGUCCAAGUAGUACCUAUUGAGGAACCAGCCUCGACCGCAACCGCCACAGCCACCGCAACAACCAAUGAGCCAGAAACCAAAAGCUCCGAUCAAAUGGAGUCACAAAGCGACAAGCCACCCGUUGGAAUGUUGGUCACAAUCGUAAACCUUUGCGCCAUAGGUGUUCUUCCCAUCUUCACCUUCUUUCUUUCUCUCACACUCCUUGGCUACGCUGUGUGGCUCCUCUACAUGCGCAGCUACGAAUGCGAAGACAUCCUCGGUCUCCCACGUGUCCAGACGCUCGCUAGCGUCGGCCUCCUUGCCGUGUUCGUCGUCAGCAACGCGGCUCUCUUUCUCCGAAGGAAGUUUCCUAUGCCCGCACUCGUGGUGAUGGUGGUGAUUCUUUUGCUGAUGAUGUUCAUGGGUUUGGCGUACGCAGGAGUCAAUGAGAUGCAGAGCAGGCGGUUUCCGGCUACUGCGAGGUGGUUCAAGCUCAAAGUGAUGGAUGAUGUUAAUUGGAACAAUAUCAAAUCGUGUGUCUACGAUAAAGGAGCUUGCAACGAGCUUUUUUACCAAUAUCCUAAAGAGAAACCUUACAAUAGAAGAAAAAUGCCACCAAUAAAGGUUUGUUCAUGAUAGAUAUAUACAUACUUUGAUCUCAUAAAGUGCAACUGGUUCAUUCUAACAUGAUACCUAGGCCUGGGAAUUUUUCUUUUCUAGUCGAACCAAACAUAAAAUUUCGGUUUUCGAUUCAGUUUUGGUUAGGAUUUUGAUUCAAUUUGGUAGAUUAAAAAAUGGUUAUUGGUUUGGUUUGGCAAUGGGUUACUUUGAUUUUUCAUUUUUUUCACAAAAAAAUACAACCAAACCAUAUUAAUUAUAACCAAGAAUCCUAACCAAACUAACUGAAUUAACCGAAUCUAACUGAAAUAAAAAACUUCUGUUAAGUUUGAUAAAAAAAAUUAAAAACUGAUAUAACCAAAUACCAACCAAACCGUGCUAAUUCGGCAAAUUGAGGCUAAACCGAACAUGAAAACGUUACAUAUGCACAUGACGUUUUGUGAAACAUUUGUCCAAGAUUUUCAAAUAGUUUGAGACGACUAUUUUCCAUCUUUAAGCAUAUAUAUUAGUUUACAAAAGCUGUUUUGAUUUUUGUUGUUGUUGCAGAAUGGAUGUUGUAUGCCGCCGGAGACAUGUAACAUGGAUGCUUUAAAUGCGACGUUUUGGUAUAGAAGAAAAGACGAGGGUCCACCGUUGGAGACAGAGGUGUUGUAUGGUGGGAUGGGCGGAAUACUAAGCGACUGUGAGUUAUGGAGGAACGAUUGGAGCAUAAUGUGCUAUGAUUGUAGAUCUUGCAAGUUCGGAUUCAUAAGAUCUCUAAGAAGGAAAUGGUGGCAGCUUGGUGUCUUUUUGGUUGUCAUCUCUAUUCUUCUUCUCAUCUCUCACCUCUUGAUCUUCUUGGCCACCUUUUGGGAAAGAUUCAAGGGUCAAUAAUCAUCAUGGAGGUGGAGAUUUCUAUGUGGUAAAAUAAUUCAUUUGUUCUGUAUUCAUUUUAGUACUCAAGCAGGUGUUCCUUCAAGCAGAUCUUUAGCUCUUCAUCCUUUCUCUCUGUCUCUUUCUCUUUGUUCGGUUUAGUGUAAAGAAUGUGUUUGAAAUAAAGUACAAACAAUUGGUUUGAUUCAGAACUCAAAAAGAAGUUCUUGAGUCAAUUGCUGAAUCUUUGAAGCACAGGACUUGAAGGUUAGAACUUAAAAGCGUCAUUGGUCGUAUAUAACACUGGUUGUAUAUAACACGGAUGAGAAGGUCUAAUAUUUUGCAUGUGCAUGUGAAUGCAGCAAAUGUGGUAAACCAUGUUAAAUUUCUGUGUUGUUUUGCAUUUAUUCAUAUGUUUCCGCACAAUUUUCUCCCAUCCUUUAUACUUCUUCCGUUUUUAAUAGAUGAUGUUUUAGUAGAAAUUUUUUACUCUAAAUUAGAUAACAUUUUAGUUUUCAAUGUAAAAUUUAUAAACCUUUUAUAUUAUAUGACUAUCUGUACACUACAAGAAAUAUUACCAUUCUUAGCUCACGAUAAAUGUUAUAGUAGGCCUUUCAUAGCGUUUUAUGAUCUGCUAUGUUAUCGGCAGCCAUCAUAGGUAUCCCCUCUACGAUAACAUUUUUUUAACGCUACGAAAUAUGACGAUACGAUAGCAAUACAUGAAUGAUAUUAUUAACUUAAACUAUAUCAUAUGAUUCUUGCUAUGAUGUAUUGACGAUGACAUUGAUAUAAUGCUAUAAUUAGAAAUAAAAUAAUUAAAAAUUAAUUUGAUCAUUUUAUUAUUUAAUUAAAAUUAAUUAAUUACAAAUUAAAUAAAAAUUAAAUAUAAUUAAAAUAAAAUUUUAUUUAUUAAUUAAAAUCAGUUUACAAUAAAAUCAGUUUUACAAAACUAAACCAAAAUUAAAAAGUAAAGUAAACCAGAACAAAUUAAACCAUACACUAACUAAAACACAUUAAACCAAAACCUAAUUAACCUAAACCUAAGCAGCCGCCCACCACCUCGUCUCAUCUGCUACGACUUGCUUCCGCGUCUCGGCGCCUCCUUGUGCUUCAUGCCUCAGCCUCAAAUCACCUUUUUCUGAACCGCAUCUACCUCUGCCUCCGUGUCUGGUUUGUCACUACCACCAUCUCCACUGCAUCGUCUUCUUCCUCUGUCAUCUCCGUACCACCUCCGCUGUAUCUUCCUUCUUCACGACGUCGUCUCCUUUCACGCUUUCAUCUUCGUCACCAAACCGGAGGACAAGGCUUCGCGGAGAAGGCGGUCGGAGGAGGAGAACGGAGGAAGCUUCACGGAGAAAGGGUCAGGGAGGAGAAGGAGCCAUUCGGAUAGGAGGAGAGGAGGAGCGUAUAGGAGUGAUGUGUAUUUGGAUCUCCUGUGUAUUUGCAGAUUGAUGUGGAGAAGAAAGACUGUGGUGGUGAGUUCUCGAUGGAAAAGAAAGAAGAAGAUAAGAGUUGGCCAGUGAGAAAAGAAAAAGAAAUCAUAAAUGAAUGUUUGUGAACCAUUGGAUUAAAAAUCAAUGGUCAAAAAUAACAAUCCUUCUUGUGCAAGAUCUACCAAUGAGAAAAGAG